Long non-coding RNA from Mercenaria mercenaria, 456 nucleotides. RefSeq lists it as uncharacterized. The record is from RefSeq and is a predicted model, not a curated record. Lineage: Eukaryota; Metazoa; Mollusca; Bivalvia; Venerida; Veneridae. The transcript is spliced from 4 exons.
UCAAUGUAGCCCCCUGAGCACACUUGAAAAGUAGAGGAAAGUUUGUUUGGCUCUUUAGUGUAGAACAACAUCUAGACUGUAUACGCAAGAUGAAGAUUCUUCUAGCUUUCACACUCUUAAUCAGCAUUUAUGUUGUGUCAUCCGAAUACUGUAACCACGACAGCGAUUGUAAAUUAACUGUGUGUGGAGCUAACUUCACCCUAGAUUGUUACGGACGUGGUGACAACGUCUGCACGUGCAUACCAAACAACAGCAACAGUUACAGUUGCACAGGUGAUGGAUCCUCAUCAUGCAAGGCUGCACACGGAGACUGUAACCAUGGAGACCACCGCUGGCAUUGCUAUGACGGACGUUGCCGGUGCUCAAUUUUUGGUUGAUAAUACACAUAGCCUGAAGGAAACCAGUCGAUCCGUUACUUUAAUACAUUUGAAUUGAAAUAAAACUGUCAGAAAUUUU